GACGAACGCUGGCGGCGUGCUUAACACAUGCAAGUCGAACGGAAAGGCCCUGCUUUUGUGGGGUUCUCGAGUGGCGAACGGGUGAGUAACACGUGAGUAACCUGCCCUUGAAUUUGGGAUAACUUCAGGAAACUGGGGCUAAUACCGGAUAGGAGCUCCUGCUGCAUGGUGGGGGUUGGAAAGUUUCGGCGGUUGGGGAUGGACUCGCGGCUUAUCAGCUUGUUGGUGGGGUAGUGGCUUACCAAGGCUUUGACGGGUAGCCGGCCUGAGAGGGUGACCGGGCACAUUGGGACUGAGAUACGGCCCAGACUCCUACGGGAGGCAGCAGUGGGGAAUAUUGCACAAUGGGCGGAAGCCUGAUGCAGCAACGCCGCGUGCGGGAUGCCGGCCUUCGGGUUGUAAACCGCUUUCGCCUGUGACGAAGCGUGAGUGACGGUAAUGGGUAAAGAAGCACCGGCUAACUACGUG
Molecule: ribosomal RNA, 468 nt
Filed under: uncultured bacterium
Lineage: Bacteria
Description: partial 16S ribosomal RNA
Rfam family: Bacterial small subunit ribosomal RNA
Source: RNAcentral